This 2652-nucleotide ribosomal RNA is filed under the name Escherichia coli. Its description in RNAcentral is "partial 23S ribosomal RNA". It matches the Rfam family "Bacterial large subunit ribosomal RNA", at positions 296 to 2925 of the family's 2925-position model. The record is from RNAcentral. Lineage: Bacteria; Pseudomonadati; Pseudomonadota; Gammaproteobacteria; Enterobacterales; Enterobacteriaceae.
AGCCCAGAGCCUGAAUCAGUGUGUGUGUUAGUGGAAGCGUCUGGAAAGGCGCGCGAUACAGGGUGACAGCCCCGUACACAAAAAUGCACAUGCUGUGAGCUCGAUGAGUAGGGCGGGACACGUGGUAUCCUGUCUGAAUAUGGGGGGACCAUCCUCCAAGGCUAAAUACUCCUGACUGACCGAUAGUGAACCAGUACCGUGAGGGAAAGGCGAAAAGAACCCCGGCGAGGGGAGUGAAAAAGAACCUGAAACCGUGUACGUACAAGCAGUGGGAGCACGCUUAGGCGUGUGACUGCGUACCUUUUGUAUAAUGGGUCAGCGACUUAUAUUCUGUAGCAAGGUUAACCGAAUAGGGGAGCCGAAGGGAAACCGAGUCUUAACUGGGCGUUAAGUUGCAGGGUAUAGACCCGAAACCCGGUGAUCUAGCCAUGGGCAGGUUGAAGGUUGGGUAACACUAACUGGAGGACCGAACCGACUAAUGUUGAAAAAUUAGCGGAUGACUUGUGGCUGGGGGUGAAAGGCCAAUCAAACCGGGAGAUAGCUGGUUCUCCCCGAAAGCUAUUUAGGUAGCGCCUCGUGAAUUCAUCUCCGGGGGUAGAGCACUGUUUCGGCAAGGGGGUCAUCCCGACUUACCAACCCGAUGCAAACUGCGAAUACCGGAGAAUGUUAUCACGGGAGACACACGGCGGGUGCUAACGUCCGUCGUGAAGAGGGAAACAACCCAGACCGCCAGCUAAGGUCCCAAAGUCAUGGUUAAGUGGGAAACGAUGUGGGAAGGCCCAGACAGCCAGGAUGUUGGCUUAGAAGCAGCCAUCAUUUAAAGAAAGCGUAAUAGCUCACUGGUCGAGUCGGCCUGCGCGGAAGAUGUAACGGGGCUAAACCAUGCACCGAAGCUGCGGCAGCGACGCUUAUGCGUUGUUGGGUAGGGGAGCGUUCUGUAAGCCUGUGAAGGUGUGCUGUGAGGCAUGCUGGAGGUAUCAGAAGUGCGAAUGCUGACAUAAGUAACGAUAAAGCGGGUGAAAAGCCCGCUCGCCGGAAGACCAAGGGUUCCUGUCCAACGUUAAUCGGGGCAGGGUGAGUCGACCCCUAAGGCGAGGCCGAAAGGCGUAGUCGAUGGGAAACAGGUUAAUAUUCCUGUACUUGGUGUUACUGCGAAGGGGGGACGGAGAAGGCUAUGUUGGCCGGGCGACGGUUGUCCCGGUUUAAGCGUGUAGGCUGGUUUUCCAGGCAAAUCCGGAAAAUCAAGGCUGAGGCGUGAUGACGAGGCACUACGGUGCUGAAGCAACAAAUGCCCUGCUUCCAGGAAAAGCCUCUAAGCAUCAGGUAACAUCAAAUCGUACCCCAAACCGACACAGGUGGUCAGGUAGAGAAUACCAAGGCGCUUGAGAGAACUCGGGUGAAGGAACUAGGCAAAAUGGUGCCGUAACUUCGGGAGAAGGCACGCUGAUAUGUAGGUGAAGUCCCUCGCGGAUGGAGCUGAAAUCAGUCGAAGAUACCAGCUGGCUGCAACUGUUUAUUAAAAACACAGCACUGUGCAAACACGAAAGUGGACGUAUACGGUGUGACGCCUGCCCGGUGCCGGAAGGUUAAUUGAUGGGGUCAGCGCAAGCGAAGCUCUUGAUCGAAGCCCCGGUAAACGGCGGCCGUAACUAUAACGGUCCUAAGGUAGCGAAAUUCCUUGUCGGGUAAGUUCCGACCUGCACGAAUGGCGUAAUGAUGGCCAGGCUGUCUCCACCCGAGACUCAGUGAAAUUGAACUCGCUGUGAAGAUGCAGUGUACCCGCGGCAAGACGGAAAGACCCCGUGAACCUUUACUAUAGCUUGACACUGAACAUUGAGCCUUGAUGUGUAGGAUAGGUGGGAGGCUUAGAAGUGUGGACGCCAGUCUGCAUGGAGCCGACCUUGAAAUACCACCCUUUAAUGUUUGAUGUUCUAACGUUGACCCGUAAUCCGGGUUGCGGACAGUGUCUGGUGGGUAGUUUGACUGGGGCGGUCUCCUCCUAAAGAGUAACGGAGGAGCACGAAGGUUGGCUAAUCCUGGUCGGACAUCAGGAGGUUAGUGCAAUGGCAUAAGCCAGCUUGACUGCGAGCGUGACGGCGCGAGCAGGUGCGAAAGCAGGUCAUAGUGAUCCGGUGGUUCUGAAUGGAAGGGCCAUCGCUCAACGGAUAAAAGGUACUCCGGGGAUAACAGGCUGAUACCGCCCAAGAGUUCAUAUCGACGGCGGUGUUUGGCACCUCGAUGUCGGCUCAUCACAUCCUGGGGCUGAAGUAGGUCCCAAGGGUAUGGCUGUUCGCCAUUUAAAGUGGUACGCGAGCUGGGUUUAGAACGUCGUGAGACAGUUCGGUCCCUAUCUGCCGUGGGCGCUGGAGAACUGAGGGGGGCUGCUCCUAGUACGAGAGGACCGGAGUGGACGCAUCACUGGUGUUCGGGUUGUCAUGCCAAUGGCACUGCCCGGUAGCUAAAUGCGGAAGAGAUAAGUGCUGAAAGCAUCUAAGCACGAAACUUGCCCCGAGAUGAGUUCUCCCUGACUCCUUGAGAGUCCUGAAGGAACGUUGAAGACGACGACGUUGAUAGGCCGGGUGUGUAAGCGCAGCGAUGCGUUGAGCUAACCGGUACUAAUGAACCGUGAGGCUUAACCUUACAACGCCGAAG